AAGGCGGAUUUAUCUGCCGCUCAUGGAUGGGCCUGCGGUGCAUUAGCUAGUUGGUGAGAUAGUAGCCCACCAAGGCGACGAUGCAUAGCCGACCUGAGAGGGUGAUCGGCCACACUGGGACUGAGACACGGCCCAGACUCCUACGGGAGGCAGCAGUAGGGAAUCUUCCGCAAUGGACGCAAGUCUGACGGAGCAACGCCGCGUGAGUGAUGAAGGGUUUCGGCUCGUAAAACUCUGUUGUUAAGGAAGAAUACUUGAGGUAGUAACUGGCCUUGAGAUGACGGUA
This 286-nucleotide ribosomal RNA is filed under the name uncultured bacterium. RNAcentral describes it as "partial 16S ribosomal RNA". It matches the Rfam family "Bacterial small subunit ribosomal RNA", at positions 202 to 477 of the family's 1533-position model. The record is from RNAcentral.